UCUUUUGCACGAAAUUUCUUUCUCGUCCACGCCAAGAAGAUAACGGCCGAAACAGAAGGUUCAAGUGAACCGGUUGUUUUAGCCAAAGCAGGAUAUGAUCAUGCGAUUAAGUUCUGGCAAGCACAUAGUGGAAUAUGCCUCCGCACUGUACAGCAUCCAGACUCCAUGUUGUGAUCUUAAACUCUAUAGUAUUAGCAAGUCAAUGCAAGGCAGAUCACACCAGACAGACAGUUAUUAGCUGCUGCAGGAUAUCAACACAUAUGUCAUAUGUUGUAUGAUAUCAAUUGAAGCAAUCCUAGUGCUGUUAUGAGUUAUGAUGGUGUAUCCAAGAAUGUGACUGCUGUGUGUUUUCAUGAGGAUGAUAAAUGGAUGUUCACUGGUGGGGAGGACUGUUCAGCCAGAAUAUGGGAGUUGAGAGACUUACCUUGAAGCAGAGCAGUUGGGUCCUGAACUGACUCUCAUCCUACAGAAGGAACACAGACGAUAACUUAAGUGUCAAGAUUGAAACCCAUUCCAUGGAGGGAACAAAGUUUUUUGUUUUUACUACUCUUGGACCAAAAAAUAAAAAAACAGAAGACAGAGAGUUUUAUUCAUUGUGGAAAAGAGGUUCUUUUAACUCACCAUGUCUAAAAAUGCAGCAAGCUUUGCGAUGGGCAUUGUGGUGUACAACUUCAAAUAGCUAAAAAAACAAAAGGCAAACAAACUUUCCAUGAUGGAAAUGGAGGUUUACUUGCAUCUCCAAGAAAACUUAUUGAUCACAGUCACAGAAUGGAGCAUUUAAUUCCAAAGAAUAGGGGAACUGAAACAA
Non-coding RNA from Pocillopora verrucosa, 808 nucleotides. The record is from RefSeq and is a predicted model, not a curated record. NCBI's taxonomy places the organism in Eukaryota, Metazoa, Cnidaria, Anthozoa, Scleractinia, Pocilloporidae.